UACGUAGGGUGCAAGCGUUGUCCGGAAUUAUUGGGCGUAAAUAGCUCGUAGGCGGUCUGUUGCGUCGGCUGUGAAAACCCGGGGCUCAACUCCGGGCCUGCAGCCGAUACGGGCAGACUAGAGUUCGGCAGGGGAGACUGGAAUUCCUGGUGUAGCGGUGAAAUGCGCAGAUAUCAGGAGGAACACCGGUGGCGAAGGCGGGUCUCUGGGCCGAUACUGACGCUGAGGAGCGAAAGCGUGGGGAGCGAACAGG
This 253-nucleotide ribosomal RNA is filed under the name uncultured bacterium. RNAcentral's name for it is "partial 16S ribosomal RNA". It matches the Rfam family "Bacterial small subunit ribosomal RNA", at positions 524 to 776 of the family's 1533-position model. The record is from RNAcentral.